This 905-nucleotide ribosomal RNA is filed under the name Frigoribacterium sp. Cex8-C. RNAcentral describes it as "SSU rRNA". It matches the Rfam family "Bacterial small subunit ribosomal RNA", at positions 556 to 1460 of the family's 1533-position model. Lineage: Bacteria; Bacillati; Actinomycetota; Actinomycetes; Micrococcales; Microbacteriaceae. The record is from RNAcentral.
GGGCGUAAGAGCUCGUAGGCGGUUUGUCGCGUCUGCUGUGAAAUCUGGGGGCUCAACCCCCAGCCUGCAGUGGGUACGGGCAGACUAGAGUGCGGUAGGGGAGAUUGGAAUUCCUGGUGUAGCGGUGGAAUGCGCAGAUAUCAGGAGGAACACCGAUGGCGAAGGCAGAUCUCUGGGCCGUAACUGACGCUGAGGAGCGAAAGCAUGGGGAGCGAACAGGAUUAGAUACCCUGGUAGUCCAUGCCGUAAACGUUGGGAACUAGAUGUGGGGGCCAUUCCACGGUCUCCGUGUCGCAGCUAACGCAUUAAGUUCCCCGCCUGGGGAGUACGGCCGCAAGGCUAAAACUCAAAGGAAUUGACGGGGGCCCGCACAAGCGGCGGAGCAUGCGGAUUAAUUCGAUGCAACGCGAAGAACCUUACCAAGGCUUGACAUAUACCGGAAACGUCCAGAGAUGGUCGCCCCGCAAGGUCGGUAUACAGGUGGUGCAUGGUUGUCGUCAGCUCGUGUCGUGAGAUGUUGGGUUAAGUCCCGCAACGAGCGCAACCCUCGUUCUAUGUUGCCAGCACGUUAUGGUGGGAACUCAUAGGAGACUGCCGGGGUCAACUCGGAGGAAGGUGGGGAUGACGUCAAAUCAUCAUGCCCCUUAUGUCUUGGGCUUCACGCAUGCUACAAUGGCCGGUACAAAGGGCUGCGAUACCGUAAGGUGGAGCGAAUCCCAAAAAGCCGGUCUCAGUUCGGAUUGAGGUCUGCAACUCGACCUCAUGAAGUCGGAGUCGCUAGUAAUCGCAGAUCAGCAACGCUGCGGUGAAUACGUUCCCGGGCCUUGUACACACCGCCCGUCAAGUCAUGAAAGUCGGUAACACCCGAAGCCAGUGGCCUAACCCUUGUGGAUGGAGCUGUCGAA